AAAUGCUGUGCUGCAAAGACAGUUUUGCCUUCAUGACUUUGUUUUUUUCAGCUAGCAUACAUCAAGACAUGGUAUUCACACUAGGAUUGCUCCCAAAAAACAGGUUGGAAGCAUAUUCAUCAGUUUUUCUCCCUUUUUCCUUUGCAGUUGUCUAACAUUGCAACAGCAGAUUUGGCAUCCCCAGUUUAGUCCAGUAUUAUUCCUGUUCAUGGGUGCCAACCAAAGGCACCCAAAGGGGCACUGUGCUUUCUGAAUGAAGCCACUUGUAGGCACCUUUAUAAACAUAGCUGGAGAAGUUAGAACAUUUCAGUGCGGCAGUCUUACUUUGAUAUUUUUCAUGCAAGAAUAUGAUCUCUCUUUCCUGAGAUAUAAAGACUGAACAAACAGAAGUAGGUCAGCUAAUGCCAACUGCACUGAGUAGGAUUUAGAAUACAACAAGGGAAGAAAUGAACUCCACAGCCUAAGAGAGCCCUUCAAAACUGAAUGCAUCAAGUUAGAAACAAGAAGAAAGGUGAGCAGCACUGCACACACCUAAAAACAGCAUACUCUAUCUACCCAGGUAAGUGGAAAAGAAAGCAAGCUUGUACAUACUGUAAUAGAAAUAGAAACAGUAACAUUGUAGACAUACCUAACAUUUUCCUUCUACCACUGAAUUUCCUGUACAUACUGUCC
This 672-nucleotide long non-coding RNA is filed under the name Phasianus colchicus (ring-necked pheasant). Its description in RNAcentral is "lncRNA (ENSPCLG00000019595.1)". The record is from RNAcentral. Lineage: Eukaryota; Metazoa; Chordata; Aves; Galliformes; Phasianidae.